Molecule: transfer RNA, 88 nt
Filed under: Caloramator mitchellensis
Lineage: Bacteria; Bacillati; Bacillota; Clostridia; Eubacteriales; Clostridiaceae
Rfam family: tRNA
About the family: Transfer RNA (tRNA) molecules are approximately 80 nucleotides in length. Their secondary structure includes four short double-helical elements and three loops (D, anti-codon, and T loops).
Source: Rfam by way of RNAcentral
GGAGAGAUGGUCGAGAGGUCUAAGGCACUUGACUCGAAAUCAAGCGUGGGGCUUAGCUCCACCGUGGGUUCGAAUCCCACUCUCUCCG